RNAcentral lists this long non-coding RNA (786 nucleotides) under Homo sapiens (human). RNAcentral's name for it is "HSALNT0175964". The record is from RNAcentral. Lineage: Eukaryota; Metazoa; Chordata; Mammalia; Primates; Hominidae.
CUACGAAAGGCAUGAAAGCGGGGUCAAAGGAGGCAGGGCUGGGGAGGGCUGGCUGUGUUUCCCAGGCCUCAGGGUGGGCUUGCCUCAACCAGGCACCUUCGCAGCCAGGGCUGAAGCACCUGUAAUCCCGCCUUCCUCAGGACAAGUGAAGGACGCAUCUAGGGAUUCAUUCUUUCAUUUCACAGAUAUUUAUUGCACAUGGUGCCGGAGAAUGGCUAUGAGCAAGACAGAGGUGGUCUCUGUUCUCAAGGCAGCUACAGAGGGACAGCCACUCCCCCAGCCCCCAACUAUGAGCUUCCCAGAACUGGCCUGAAGGUGCAGCUGCAAUGAUACGGGCUCACAUCCUGGCAUCCUCAUUUGCUAGCGUGAAAAUCGCAUUUCUCCAAACCUCGGUUUUCUCAUCUGAAAAACAGGCACAGCACCUAGUUUGCAGGACUGGGAAAGUUACAGAGGGUUAAUGGCAAUGCGGUUGGCCUUGGGCACUCCUUGUUCUGACCUCUGGAGUUCGGCUGCCCUGUGGUCUGGCCCUGGCUCUGUGGAGAGGCUUUCCCAGGCCGAGGGGCUCACCAGGCCUUCCCUAGUGAGGAGCUCUUUCUGCCAGAGCUGAGCUCAUGGGCAGGGCGGGGCGCAGAGGCCACAUAUCAGCCAGCUGUCCUCCCUUUCCUGGGAGCUGGUCCAGAGACGAGGGGCAGGGCGUCUGGUUUUCAUUGUGCGGCCGUCUCUAAUUCCUCUGGCAUCUGAGCUACUUUUCAGAAGGAGGGAGAUGCACUUAACUGGUUGUGACCC